UGUAGUGUGUGUUGAAGUGCCUCAACUAGGUCUACAGCCUUAGCUAAAUCAAGAGAAGGUGCCUGAAGCAUGUCUGAGAGCAACUUUGCUUCCCCAAGAAUUUUCUUGAAGAUGACAAGAAGACCAAUAAAGACCACUAAGAUAGUUCCAGAGAUUUGUUCCACCUUGCUGCCAGUGAAAUUUAUGAUCUUCCCAUUUAAAACCAGCUUCCUCCGAAGAGCAACAUGUUCUCCUUUCCCUUUCACAGGAUCUUCUAUCUGUUCCUGAGAGGACUGCCUGUUAUAUGUGACCUACCUUGCUGCCAGUACCAAUAUCUGCUCUUUCCCCCUCAAAUUUCCCCUUGUGGGACAAUGAAGAAUUGAAUAAAACUUUUAGCCUGCCUUCUAAGAGCAACAUGUUCCCCUUGUUAGUGAGUUCUCUAGGCUAACA
Long non-coding RNA from Anguilla anguilla (European eel), 429 nucleotides. RefSeq lists it as uncharacterized. The record is from RefSeq and is a predicted model, not a curated record. Lineage: Eukaryota; Metazoa; Chordata; Actinopteri; Anguilliformes; Anguillidae. The transcript is spliced from 3 exons.